Molecule: ribosomal RNA, 620 nt
Filed under: uncultured Sphingomonas sp.
Lineage: Bacteria; Pseudomonadati; Pseudomonadota; Alphaproteobacteria; Sphingomonadales; Sphingomonadaceae
Description: bacterial SSU rRNA
Rfam family: Bacterial small subunit ribosomal RNA
Source: RNAcentral
GUAAAGCUCUUUUACCCGGGAUGAUAAUGACAGUACCGGGAGAAUAAGCCCCGGCUAACUCCGUGCCAGCAGCCGCGGUAAUACGGAGGGGGCUAGCGUUGUUCGGAAUUACUGGGCGUAAAGCGCACGUAGGCGGCUUUGUAAGUUAGAGGUGAAAGCCCGGGGCUCAACCCCGGAAUUGCCUUUAAGACUGCAUCGCUAGAAUUGUGGAGAGGUAAGUGGAAUUCCGAGUGUAGAGGUGAAAUUCGUAGAUAUUCGGAAGAACACCAGUGGCGAAGGCGACUUACUGGACACAUAUUGACGCUGAGGUGCGAAAGCGUAGGGAGCAAACAGGAUUAGAUACCCUGGUAGUCCACGCCGUAAACGAUGAUGACUAGCUGUCGGGGCGCUUAGCGUUCCGGUGGCGCAGCUAACGCGUUAAGUCAUCCGCCUGGGGAGUACGGCCGCAAGGUUAAAACUCAAAGAAAUUGACGGGGGCCUGCACAAGCGGUGGAGCAUGUGGUUUAAUUCGAAGCAACGCGCAGAACCUUACCAGCGUUUGACAUGCCAGGACGGUUUCCAGAGAUGGAUUCCUUCCCUUACGGGACCUGGACACAGGUGCUGCAUGGCUGUCGUCAGCU